RNAcentral lists this transfer RNA (81 nucleotides) under Trametes sanguinea. RNAcentral's name for it is "tRNA-Asn". It matches the Rfam family "tRNA". From Rfam's summary of the family: Transfer RNA (tRNA) molecules are approximately 80 nucleotides in length. Their secondary structure includes four short double-helical elements and three loops (D, anti-codon, and T loops). Lineage: Eukaryota; Fungi; Basidiomycota; Agaricomycetes; Polyporales; Polyporaceae. The record is from RNAcentral.
UGCCCCAUGGCUGAGUUGGUUACAGCGUCCGACUGUUACCUUGCAAUCGGAAGGUCGUGAGUUCGAGCCUCACUGGGGCAG